Molecule: long non-coding RNA, 777 nt
Organism: Anolis carolinensis (green anole)
Lineage: Eukaryota; Metazoa; Chordata; Lepidosauria; Squamata; Anolidae
Exons: 3
Source: RefSeq, a predicted model, not a curated record
CCAGGUGGUUUGGACUUCAGCCCCCAGAAUCCCUUGCCGCUGGCCAAGCCGAUGGGGGCUUCUGGGAGUUGAAGUCCAAAAUAGCUGGAGGAGCCAUGUUUGGCCAUCACUGCCCCAUCAUCUCCCAGAAUGCCAGAGCUUUGACCAGAGUGGCUAAGGGCUCAUAGAAUCAUAGAGUAAUAGAGUUGGAAGAGACCUUCUAGUCCAGUGGUUCUCCACCUGUGGCUCCACAGAUGUUUUGGCCUUCAAUUCCCAGAAAUCCUAACAGCUGUUUAUCCAUGCCUCACAGCCUCUGAGGAUGCCUGCCGUAGAUGUGGGCGAAACGUCAGGAGAGAAUACUUCUGGAACAUGGCCACACAGCCCGAAAGACAUACAACACGUUCCUGAACUCAGGAUCAGUGUUGGGUUGGAGCAGCCUACCUACAGUAAGGAAUGGAAUAAAGCUUGAGCUGGAAGAAAACAGGUUUCUGCUCUAGCUGAUCAUACUGUAACUGCAGCAGGCAAAGUAAACAUCUGCCUCCAGAAGAUAUUACUUCACCAGCUAACUCAAGCCUGUUUAGAAACCAUACAUCUAUAGGUUUGGAUAUCAAAAUGGAAAUCAUGAGAACAGUACAAGCUGAUGAAAGGAAAAACACAUCCGUGGAUACAUUUUGGAGAGCUUUCAAGUUCUCCCUAAAAGGUUUAACAUGUUUUUGUUUACUUAUGUAAGGCUUAACAUUUUUCAUUCCACAUAUCCAUAUUGAUAGCUUUGGAUUAAAUGUUUACAAAAAUGUUGAA